RNAcentral lists this ribosomal RNA (497 nucleotides) under uncultured bacterium. RNAcentral's name for it is "partial 16S ribosomal RNA". It matches the Rfam family "Bacterial small subunit ribosomal RNA", at positions 28 to 507 of the family's 1533-position model. The record is from RNAcentral.
GACGAACGCUGGCGGCGUGCCUAAUACAUGCAAGUAGAACGCUGAAGAGAGGAGCUUGCUCUUCUUGGAUGAGUUGCGAACGGGUGAGUAACGCGUAGGUAACCUGCCUGGUAGCUGGGGAUAACUAUUGGAAACGAUAGCUAAUACCGCAUAAAAUGGAUUAUCGCAUGAUAAUCCAUUGAAAGGUGCAAAUGCAUCACUACCAGAUGGACCUGCGUUGUAUUAGCUAGUUGGUGGGGUAACGGCUCACCAAGGCGACGAUACAUAGCCGACCUGAGAGGGUGAUCGGCCACACUGGGACUGAGACACGGCCCAGACUCCUACGGGAGGCAGCAGUAGGGAAUCUUCGGCAAUGGACGGAAGUCUGACCGAGCAACGCCGCGUGAGUGAAGAAGGGUUUCGGAUCGUAAAGCUCUGUUGUAAGAGAAGAACGAGUGUGAGAGUGGAAAGUUCACACUGUGACGGUAUCUUACCAGAAAGGGACGGCUAACUACGUG